Molecule: long non-coding RNA, 14821 nt
Filed under: Triticum aestivum (bread wheat)
Lineage: Eukaryota; Viridiplantae; Streptophyta; Magnoliopsida; Poales; Poaceae
Description: long non-coding RNA (TAES_LNC006266)
Source: RNAcentral
AAGAACUGAGUUCACCUGGUCUGCACUUAUGUUCGCCUUCUUGUGUGGGUUUUUUUUGAGAGUACGCCAAAUGCGUAUCAUAGCUUUAUAGAAAGCAGAAUAUAAGUUAUAAGAAAAUUACUACUCGCUGCGAACAACAAGCGUAGCACAAACACCACACCCAACAGGACCAAAGAGAAACACCACCGCAAAGCAAGUUACAACGCAAAAGAGCCUAUUCUAAGAUCAUACAUAGUACCGUGUCUCAACUGACGCCGGGCAUCUUCAAAGACAACCCACUGUCGCAAAGUUUUACUCAUCAACGCACCAUCCAUCCUAAGCGCCUGAGAGAAAGUGCCAGGUGAAUGACAGGGCUCGAUCCGAUCCGAGAAGGCGCCGUCUUAGACACACCGACGACGGUGUACAGAGCGCCACAGAGGAUCAAAAGAGGACAGUGGUGAACACCGGAGGAGAGCAACGAGGAGCCAGCCAUGUCUCCAAGCAUAGUGCUCCAACAAACGAGCGAUGUUGAGGACAUCGCCAUCGUGCCGAUACAAACACCGAAUCGAGGCUUUUGCUCGAAGACAUUCACCAACUCUAAGAGAGCAGUGGCGGAGCUACGGCUGGGCCAACCCAUGCCCUUGCCCGCCCAUCACAUGCAAAAUUCCUCUGAUGUACACGUACUAUUAGGCCAUGGAAUAACAUUCCAAUAGUAAUUUCCUUCAGCUUGGCCCUGCUAGCCCGCCCAACAAUUUGGGCGAAGCUCCACCACUGCAAGAGAGCGAGCGGAAUUGCGAACACGCUCGACGACGCCUUCAAGAAAGAGAAUGACAUCCAUAGAUGCCAUCACCAUCGGCCCGACAAAAGCCGAGCAAGAUUUUCAUCCGCGCAUGGCCCCUCUCCACACCUCCAUGAAAUUGGCAACAUUGUUCAAGAAGCCUCACACCGCCACCCCAUAGCACUUGCCGACGUAGCAGCAAUGCCGAGGACUGAUGACCAACCGCCCAACAGGGUAACCGCAGCCACACCACCAACUCCCAGCCUGCACAAGGAUCCACGCCAACCAGCACCUUCGGCCAGGUCCGGGACCACCCGUGAUGGUCGUUGCCUACCCAAGGGACAACCUUGCGUCGAUCAGACCCACCUCUCCUCUCCAUGGAAAAUCCCAGGUCGGCACCAUCAGGAGAGUACUGCCGCUCGCCGCGCCGCACAAGGGUAACUGACCGCUCGCUGCUCGCUAAGACUCCAUCUUAGCCGAGCCAUCGACGCGUCGCCACCAGCCUGCCCGUGGGAAUUCGCCACCACACCUGUCAGGACCCCGAUCCUAAGUCACUCCUAUCUAGCAUGUAACACAUCAUAUCACUUUGCGGCCUCACGCACAGUAUUCCCACGGGUGCCACCUUACCUGGCCCGGGACCGUUUGCGCCUUUUGGCUCACGUAUAUGAUAGUGUCCCUAGCAUCCAUAUGGUAAGGAGCCCGGGCUGACAUGGCUAGUCGUAAACCCAAAGUGGCACAAACUUACAGGGACAGGCAUCCAUGACCCAGCAUCGAACGUGUCGAUCAUCAGCGAGUGAACCCAGGUUGUAGCACUGGGCUAGCAGGACUCCGGUGAACCGGGCUGUAGCGGGCUAACAGGACUCCGGUAUUCAUCGCGUGACAUUUCCCCGAAGGGACAGACACAGGAACGAAGAAGGACACAUGCCGGCCAGCCUAAGUGUUCCGGAGCAGUAGCAAGCUACCAUGGCUCAGUGGAAACACUAGGAGACAUUUCCCGAUAAGAGAGGCUACCAAGGAUAAACAACUAGAUAGCCAGAUCCCACACAUACCAAGCAUUUCAAUAACAUACACACAAUAUGCUCGAUAUGUGCAAAUACAACAUGGCAUCACAACAUGACUCUACGACUCAAGUAUUUAUUAGGCUCCGAGGAGCGAGAUAUUACAAACAGGGGUCUCAUGACCCAACACUCAGAGCAUACAAAUCAAGCACAAGCGGAAACUAUCAUGUCUGAGUACAGACAUCUAUAAAUGAAAAAGGCUGAGAAGCCUGACUAUCUACCAGAUCCUGCCGAGGGCACAAGAUCGUAGCUGAGGUAACAAGCUAAACGUCGAAGUCCAAGCGGAACUACUAGUGAGACUGAAGUCUCUCUGCAAAACAUAAAAUAGGCAAACGUGAGUACAAAUGUACCCAGCAAGACUUACAUCAGAUCUAUCUACAUAUGCAUCAUUAUCAACAAAGGGGAUGGUGGGGUUUAACUGCAGCAAGCCAGCUUUGACUCGGUGGCUAUCCUGAACUACGACUGCAAGUAACUCUUUUGAGGUGGCGCACACGAGUCCACAUAUUCACCAUAUCAAUACACCACUAUGGAUCCACUCCCGUCUCCCUACGAGAACGCCAUCCAUAGCACUCAUGCUUAUCUUGCGUAUUUUAGAGUAUCCACUUUCACUUGUCUAUGAACUGUACAAGGGGUCCAAGUUUCCAUAACCGAGGAAUCCGGCUAUUCGAAUAGAUGAUGUUAACCCUGCAGGGGUGUACUUCUUCACACACGCUCUCGCCACUUACCGCCCUGUACACGUCAUGUACCUCGGCAACCUUCAAGCGGAAGCCGGGCGAGGGAGUCGGCCACGACCUGACUAACCGAACAAGUCUCUAGUCCAGGUUUAUCGCCUAUUCGGGUUCCAUCCGCAAGGAGAUCCGGCCGGGGUGUCGCUCAUGGCCCCAAACGAUGUGUGCAGGGUUCCCAAGCCCACCAUCCGGGUGCCACUUGGUACACCGUGCCACUGUGCCUAGUCUGUCCCAAGCCCACCUGUACCGGGUGCCACUUGGUAGACUACUAACACUACCUACAAACACCAGAAACUAGUUGCAACUCCUGGACAGAGAUCAUGUUGAUUAAUAAGUCGAGAAGGGUCGAGUUACCGGAACCCAAUGUGUGGUAGUAACUGGUCAUGGAUCACAAACACAGAGCUCAGUUCCUGAGGACGGCUGCAAUGAGACAACCCACCAUGUACUCCUACAUGGCCUCUCACCGCUACCUUUACCAAAUUGUGUUCACACACUUAGCUCACACACAGUAGGACAUGUUCACACACCUCUGAUUCAUCCCCGAUGAAUCAGACCUGACUCAACUCUAAGCAGUAGCAGGCAUGACAAACAAGCAUGAAAGAGUAGGCACAUCAGGGCUCAAACAACUCCUACUCAUGCUAGUGGGUUUCAUCUAUUUACUGUGUCAAUGACAGGUCAUGCAAAGGAUAAAGGGGUUCAGCUACCGCAGCAAGUAACAAAUAUGUCGUUGUUGUCCUAAUACAGUAAAAGAGAGCAGGAGCGAGAGAGUGGGGUUUUAUCGGAAUGAACAAAGGGGUUUUGCUUGCCUGGCACUUCUGAAGAUAGCAUUGAGUCUUCAUCAGUGUCAACGAUCACAACGUCGGGACAACGUCUACCGAGGGGGAACAACACCGGCAAACACAGAAGAAGCACGAUCAAUGCAAUGCACAAUAUGAUGCAUGCUAUGACAUGGCAAUAUGAAUGUGUUUUGGGCUAAUGCACCUAGCUAUGAUUUAAAUGAAGUUGGUUUGAAUACAUGAUUCAAAUUCCAACUCCAUAUAUGAUUAUUUAAGUGCCCUUUAUUUGUUUUGUCCAAAACAGAGGACAAACAUUGUUUAAACAUGCAUGAAAAUGGUACAGAUGGAUUCCUUGAAUUUUUCUGAUAAUUUUUCAUAUAUAAAUCAUUUAAUUUGGAGUUACGGUUGAAUUUCUAUGAUUUAUUGAAGUUUAAACAAUUUUCUGGAAUUUUCUGAAUAAAAAUAAAUCCAGAAACAUUAUUGCGUCAGCCUGACAUCAUCAUGACGUCAGCAGGUCAACUGGGUCGCCCAGAGUCAAACCUGACGUGUGGGGGCCACACGUCAGUGACACAGGGCUGGUUUGGGUGUUUGACAGGUGGGUCCGGUCAACGUUGACUUGACUAAGUCAAAAUCUGACACAUGGGGUCCACAGAUUAGCACUAAUCUAAACAGAAAAAGUAAACUAACCUAAUUAGGCUCGGGGCCCACAUGGCAGUGGCACUAGGGUUGGUUUAGCUGGGUCAUUAGUGGCUAAUGACGUGCCACGUCACCGGCCACCGGAGUUUGGCCGGCGGUGACUCGAAACGCGGCGGAUGUUCACCGGGGUUGCGCUACGGGCGGCGGCUGGACGCGCGAAGGCUACCAGAAGGUAGCCCGUACACGGCCGCACCUAGCUGGCUGCACGAGGGGCCGCGGGGUGGCCGGAGACGACGGCGGCGAGCACUUCCGCGGUGGCCGGAGUUCGGGCUGGGGCAGGGACGCGGCUGCAGCGCUCGAGCGAGCAAGCGGAGUGGAGAGGCAUCCUCCUGGAGGCGCCAGGAGCGUGUCAGUGCCCCUGGAGCGAGCAGGAGAGGCUCGGGAAUGCGGGCUCGCCGGCCAUGGCGGACGGCGGCCUCGGGUGACCUCGGGGCUACGGCUAGAGGGCGGGAGCAAGCAGGGGGCAGAGGGGAAAUGCUCAGGGGCUUACGGUGAGUUCGAAGAGAAGGUCGGCGUGCUCGGGGAGGCGGCGGAGACGGCGAAUCGGACGGCGGCAUCCGGCGGCCGUGGUCGGGGAAGAAGGCCGCAAGCGUCAUCUUGGGGCCGUCCUGACUCGUGUAGCUCGGAGAGGAGGGAGAGUAGGUGGCGGCGGCGCCUCUGAGAGCAUCGGCGGGGCGAGGCAGUGGCUGUGGCCACGGCGGCGUACGAACGGCGGCGGCGGUCGCUCUCGGGUGCGUGCGAGAGAAAGAACAGAGGAGGAGAUGGGGACGAGGGAGUGAGCGGGAGGGUUCCAGGGGGUCGAGGCGGCGCCGAGGAGAAGGCGCGAGGCGUCGUGGUGGCCUCAGUGACGCAGGCAGGCAGGGAGGUGCGUGGCGCCGCUGGCGCGCGUGCGCUGUCUCCCUCCUCUGCCUUCUGGCAGAGGUAGGUGAUGACUGGCACGGGCCAGGUGGGCCGGCCCGGCCAGGUAAGUGGCCUGUGGCCUUACUCUCUCUCUCUCUCUCUCUCUCUCUCUUCAUUUAGCUUGUUUUUCUAUAUUUCUGCAAUUGUUUUGGCUUUAUUAAAAAUGCCAGAGCAUUAUUAAAAAUCCUGAAAAUAUUCAUGAGCACUUUCUGAAUUAUUUCAGUGUCCCACAAAUAAUUCCAACAUUAUUUGAGCAUUUAAAUUAUUUAUAGUGUUUAAAUGCCCAAAGUCAAAUACAAUAUGAUUUAAUUCAAAAAUCCAAAAAUGAUCUAAGAAUAUAUUCAUCAUUUUUGGCAGAGGUUUCCACCUUAACCAGAAAUCAUGAACUUUUCUUAGGAACUUUUUUGGGUUUAUUGAAAAAGAUUUUAAUCCACCCUAGUUGAGUUGAUUUGGUGCUAGGGUUUGAACAUCCCCAUUUCAAGUUUAAGAAAAAUUUAAACAUGAUGCACACAUGAAGCUAUCCUAGUGCAAUACCAGAAGCUAGGGAUAUGACAACUCACCCCCACUAAACAAGAAUCUCGUCUCGAGAUUCAAGCGUAGGGUAAGAUGAAGGGGAAACGCAAACUAGUAUAAUCUUCACGAUCCAGGUUGCACUUCAAAUGAACGUUGAUUCGAUCACCAUCUUUGUCCCGUCGUCUUGCUCUGAGAACUCCAGCUAGCAUGACAGCAAGAGGAAAAGGACAACUCCGGAAGAAUCGAUCUUCUCGAAGAUCAAUCAACUUAGGAUCAGCUCACCAAGUGAGUCAUAGCAACAUCUCUUGAGCUGAGACACGAAGCAUACAUCUGAAGAAAUGGAGUGAGACAGAUGACGAGGGCUCACUAGGUAGACAACAAUUCCACACCUAAGAAGGUGGUAAACGAUUGUCAACGUAGCGAGGAGUUGAGUUUCCAUGAUGCCACAGAGGGACAUCCUGGAGGAGGGUGAUUCGUAGAUAUAUCCCCUUAGGUGGCAAAAAGAAUUACUUUUGACUCAGAGAUCAUUGAAACUUUUAAAACCAGCCUAAGGCAAUUCUCGAGCGAUCGUUUGGAGGGGGUCGGUAGGAUGGCAUACUCGGACUUGGAUGAUGUGGAUUACCUUGUUGAAGACAACGUAAUGGAUGAAUUUGCUUAUCACCGGAAAUGGAAGAGACCCAUGGUAGAAUGGCACAUUGGUGGUGCAGGCUGGGAACAGAAUGCAAAUGCUGGGAAUGAUUCUGGUAACUGGGGAAGAACCCAACAAUAGAGAGUGAAUUCAUUGUUUGAAAAGGUCAUAGCAUUGCCGAGGAAACUGAGAGGAAUCCCAGUUAGUGCCGAUGAUAACACCUAGCGCUUAUGCAUGCUCUCAAGAACUUGAGCAUUUCCACAAUCAUCAAGGUUUUAUCAACAUCCGUGUCAAGGGUGCUGACAACACAACAUACUACCAUGAUGGCUAAUGAUGGAUGAUGCAGAUGCAAAGGAAGAUAAUACCUUCUCAGAUUUCACCUUAGCGAGGCCAAGGAGACAAAAUCUGGACGAUCGACCGAGAGACAUUUAGCACUCCGCUCCUAAUGUUCUCCUUGAUGUGCUAGCGUAAUCCAUAGAUAAUUAUGGUUGGAUAUCUAGAACAUCAAGUAAAAGGUCGGACUUCGGAAACACAAAAAUCCAUAAGGAACAACUAGGGAGGUAAAUCCUACGAAAUCCUUAUGGGGAGGUGGCCAACUUCUUCAAUCAAGAUACUACAAUAAUAGGUCCUUCGGCUGGGUGGUGCUGGCCACGACAUCCACUUUACCAGUUAUCGAGGGACCAAUAUUAUAGUUCUUGGGAAAUGUUCCAACCAUCAUAUCUGCCUGAGAUUCAGAUCUGGUUGGUGUCAGGAUAUUCCAGACUCAUCGCGUCCAGGAAGAAAAAUGAAAGUUUGCAACACAAUUCGACGAGAUAACGUUGCGAGAUUCUCGGGAAAUGAACUACGAUAGCAAGCUCCAAAACAUGAGCUGGUUCUGCUACACACAUGUGAACAUGUUGUCCCAGACAAGCAUGACCACAUGGUAGUCUUAUAAUAAAACACUACCGAGUUCUGGUUGGGAACCAUCAUCGAGGAUAUCAAAGUUCUUGAUUAAGCCCGGGUUAGCUCUUAAAAAGAACUCCUUCUCCUAGAACAAAUCAGUCAGUGGCUUGGUGUGCUACAUAAUUCAUAUGGAACGAAGAUGAUCAGUCUAACAGACCACAGAAUACUUUGCACGUGCAUGGCUGACUUGGGAUGAUUCUAGAGGAAGCAAAACUAACUUUCUCAAAUCCACGGCGGCAACUUUCACCAAAUGCACGUGUAUAAGAGGAAGUCACUCCUUUCAUCAAACACAUACUUCAUGAGUUAGCAUGAAGAAAUGCUUUCAGAAGUUUCCAACACUAACUUGUUGUCCAACAAGAUCAUGGAGGAGAUGAGGAUGUUGUCAAUGGGCUCAACAACAAUUCAUCUGGGUUUCCUUUUAAAAGGAAUUCCAUAGUUAAGUGAACAAGUGAUAGCAUUGGUCAGACCCAAAAGAUAUAAUGAUGUAUGCUCGAGGGAUCAACCACGAGUAAGACAACAUUACGAAUAUCGUUGGUUCUGGUCUGAUUGGAUGAUAGCCCAUACUCAAUCAAAGGUUUGGGUAAGAUAAUAGAUCCAACAAUUGUCCACAAGGGCCAAUUGAUGAAGAUAUCAUCUUUCUUCAACACACACUAUACAAGAAUAUCCCUUUGGAACGAACUAAGUUAGGCAAGCUUUUAUCUUCCAACUCUCCAAGUUGUUGUCUAGCUUAACCAACUAGCUCAAGAAUAUCCAACAUAGAUUCUUGGAGAAGGGGUGGUUUACAGGAAUAAACCAACUUGAUCACGAACUCAACAUAGCGGUCAGGUGACAACCUGGUAAUACUUCUGAGAAGAUAUUCAGAAAAUCACGAACCACCGAUAUGUUACUAAGCUCGAGAGCAAUCUUUCUUUUCAGGGCAAGAUGAUAUGAUCAAAUGAGCGAGGAUUUGACAAAAUCCUAACUCAUCAAUCAAAGAGUGCACCAGAAAUAGGGACUAGGCAGCACAAUCAGUCUUAGGGUGACGAUUCAAUAAUCAACACGCUAAGAAUGAGGUUAUCGUCCAUUUAACUACCAAGCAACAGAGUUGCUAGCAGUAUUGAUUUCACAUAUCACAAUUCAUUUGUCGGUAUUCCGGUUGCAUCAACACGAGGACCGAGGAAUGACUAAUGAUGGUGAGAAUUAUCACUACGUCAAAAUUCAUGAGAGUUGGUGCAGUUCUCAUGACAAUUCUGACAUAAAGGGGGUAAUACUCCAAGGUAGAACAGAACUAAAAGCUGGAUUGGCAUUUGAUCUGCGGAAUACAACUGCUUUGACCCAAUCCUGGAUAUGGAAGAGGUACUGGAGUUUGUUUCUCCAAGUCAUUCAGGACAGAAUGGCUUGACGGCCACAAGACUAAUAGGCAUCGAUAAACGAACGCACGCAUACUCUUGACUAUCAAUUGAUAGACGAAGGCCAGUAGACAACUAAAGAGGGACAACUCAAAGGAACAUAUAACUUUCUGAGUUGUGGAUGCAUAGAUUAGUAUGUCGAACCAAGUUCAACAUAAUUCUUUCGGAUAACCCAUGCAAAAAGGUUGAGCUGGCAGAGUCACAAUAUAGCAUGGAGAACUCAUCAAGAGUACUCCGAUUAUGGUCUUUUGAUUCAACAAACUACUGCCACAAAUGGUUCAUAGUAUUUGGAAGAAGGAAAAUACCAUGGACCUCGAGGACUAAUGCAAAAGUUACUAAUUUCCUAAAGGAACUAGCAACACUAUCAACAUGAAGUAAGUAGAGUGAAUCUCGGGUUCAAAACCCAGAAGUGAAAUGCCUACUAACUAAGUGGCAUCACGGGAUGCUUUCGAGAAUGAUGGCCAGAAUCAUCACACUGGGACACAAAUCAUGGCUAAAUUACUAGAUGAUCCCCUAAGACACCUAGGGUCAUAAUAAUAACUCCAACAUAAAUGUCAAGGCAAUGGAAUACCUCAACUCAACAAUUAGUGUGAUUGAGCUGGCAUAAAGGAACAUCGAAACCAGGGGGAAAGAAUUUUGCAAAUGCAUCAGACUAUUUAGAAACCUGGGAUGACUCGGACAGCAUAACGGCUGUAAAUGCUCAAAAAAGAUUUGAGACAUUCACCAAAAUGGUGGCAUAAUCACUCAGAAGCACAAUAUCAAGGUUUCGAGAUCAUCAUAGACAUACCGAAGUAGUAGGAACUGGACUGAGGCUUAAAUCCAACAAUCUUAUAAGUCUACGGAUUAGUAACACGUGAUCCUGAUAGAAAGAAGAGAAAGCCUAGUUCUUUAAUCCCCGUAGGAAAAAUAGGAUGACUCAGAUCAGAAGGGCAUAAGGUAUAAGGAGUAAAAAGAGCCUUACGUUCCAUCCCACAAUCAAUUCCCUUAUAUAACUAAAGAGUUUCUAGACUCAACUUCGACCAGUUUGGCUUGGUAAUCCUACAGGCAGUCAAGCUCUAAUACCAACGCUGUCAGGACCCCGAUCCUAAGUCACACCGAUCUAGCAUGUAACACAUCAUAUCACUUUGCGGCCUCACGCACGGUAUUCCCACGGGUGCCACCUUACCUGGCUCGGGACCGUUUGCGCCUUUUGGCUCACGUAUAUGAUAGUGUCGCUAGCAUCCAUAUGGUAAGGAGCCCGGGCUGACAUGGCUAGUCGUAAACCCAAAGUGGCACAAACUUACAGGGACAGGCAUCCAUGACCCAGCAUCGAACAUGUCGGUCAUCAGCGAGUGAACCCAGGCUGUAGCACUGGGCUAGCAGGACUCCGGUGAACCGGGCUGUAGCGGGCUAACAGGACUCCGGUAUUCAUCGCGUGACAUUUCCCCGAAGGGACAGACACAGGAACGAAGAAGGACACAUGCCGGCCAGCCUAAGUGUUCCGGAGCAGUAGCAAGCUACCAUGGCUCAGUGGAAACACUAGGAGACAUUUCCCGGUAAGAGAGGCUACCAAGGAUAAACAACUAGAUAGCCAGAUCCCACACAUACCAAGCAUUUCAAUAACAUACACACAAUAUGCUCGAUAUGUGCAAAUACAACAUGGCAUCACAACAUGACUCUACGACUCAAGUAUUUAUUAGGCUCCGAGGAGCGAGAUAUUACAAACAGGGGUCUCAUGACCCAACACUCAGAGCAUACAAAUCAAGCACAAGCGGAAGCUAUCAUGUCUGAGUACAGACAUCUAUAAAUGAAAAAGGCUGAGAAGCCUGACUAUCUACCAGAUCCUGCCGAGGGCACAAGAUCGUAGCUGAGGUAACAAGCUAAACGCCGAAGUCCAAGUGGAACUACUAGUGAGACUGAAGUCUCUCUGCAAAACAUAAAAUAGGCAAACGUGAGUACAAAUGUACCCAGCAAGACUUACAUCAGAUCUAUCUACAUAUGCAUCAUUAUCAACAAAGGGGAUGGUGGGGUUUAACUGCAGCAAGCCAGCUUUGACUCGGUGGCUAUCCUGAACUACGACUGCAAGUAACUCUUUUGAGGUGGCGCACACGAGUCCACAUAUUCACCAUAUCAAUACACCACUAUGGAUCCACUCCCGUCUCCCUACGAGAACGCCAUCCAUAGCACUCAUGCUUAUCUUGCGUAUUUUAGAGUAUCCACUUUCACUUGUCUAUGAACUGUACAAGGGGUCCAAGUUUCCAUAACCGAGGAAUCCGGCUAUUCGAAUAGAUGAUGUUAACCCUGCAGGGGUGUACUUCUUCACACACGCUCUCGCCACUUACCGCCCUGUACACGUCAUGUACCUCGGCAACCUUCAAGCGGAAGCCGGGCGAGGGAGUCGGCCACGACCUGACUAACCGAACAAGUCUCUAGUCCAGGUUUAUCGCCUAUUCGGGUUCCAUCCGCAAGGAGAUCCGGCCGGGGUGUCGCUCAUGGCCCCAAACGAUGUGUGCAGGGUUCCCAAGCCCACCAUCCGGGUGCCACUUGGUACACCGUGCCACUGUGCCUAGUCUGUCCCAAGCCCACCUGUACCGGGUGCCACUUGGUAGACUACUAACACUACCUACAAACACCAGAAACUAGUUGCAACUCCUGGACAGAGAUCAUGUUGAUUAAUAAGUCGAGAGGGGUCGAGUUACCGGAACCCAAUGUGUGGUAGUAACUGGUCAUGGAUCACAAACACAGAGCUCAGUUCCUGAGGACGGCUGCAAUGAGACAACCCACCAUGUACUCCUACAUGGCCUCUCACCGCUACCUUUACCAAAUCGUGUUCACACACUUAGCUCACACACAGUAGGACAUGUUCACACACCUCUGAUUCAUCCCCGAUGAAUCAGACCUGACUCAACUCUAAGCAGUAGCAGGCAUGACAAACAAGCAUGAAAGAGUAGGCACAUCAGGGCUCAAACAACUCCUACUCAUGCUAGUGGGUUUCAUCUAUUUACUGUGUCAAUGACAGGUCAUGCAAAGGAUAAAGGGGUUCAGCUACCGCAGCAAGUAACAAAUAUGUCGUUGUUGUCCUAAUACAGUAAAAGAGAGCAGGAGCGAGAGAGUGGGGUUUUAUCGGAAUGAACAAAGGGGUUUUGCUUGCCUGGCACUUCUGAAGAUAGCAUUGAGUCUUCAUCAGUGUCAACGAUCACAACGUCGGGACAACGUCUACCGAGGGGGAACAACACCGGCAAACACAGAAGAAGCACGAUCAAUGCAAUGCACAAUAUGAUGCAUGCUAUGACAUGGCAAUAUGAAUGUGUUUUGGGCUAAUGCACCUAGCUAUGAUUUAAAUGAAGUUGGUUUGAAUACAUGAUUCAAAUUCCAACUCCAUAUAUGAUUAUUUAAGUGCCCUUUAUUUGUUUUGUCCAAAACAGAGGACAAACAUUGUUUAAACAUGCAUGAAAAUGGUACAGAUGGAUUCCUUGAAUUUUUCUGAUAAUUUUUCAUAUAUAAAUCAUUUAAUUUGGAGUUACGGUUGAAUUUCUAUGAUUUAUUGAAGUUUAAACAAUUUUCUGGAAUUUUCUGAAUAAAAAUAAAUCCAGAAACAUUAUUGCGUCAGCCUGACAUCAUCAUGACGUCAGCAGGUCAACUGGGUCGCCCAGAGUCAAACCUGACGUGUGGGGGCCACACGUCAGUGACACAGGGCUGGUUUGGGUGUUUGACAGGUGGGUCCGGUCAACGUUGACUUGACUAAGUCAAAAUCUGACACAUGGGGUCCACAGAUUAGCACUAAUCUAAAUAGAAAAAUUAAACUAACCUAAUUAGGCUCGGGGCCCACAUGGCAGUGGCACUAGGGUUGGUUUAGCUGGGUCAUUAGUGGCUAAUGACGUGCCACGUCACCAGCCACCGGAGUUCGGCCGGCGGCGACUCGAAACGCGGCGGAUGUUCACCGGGGUUGCGCUACGGGCGGCGGCUGGACGCGCGAAGGCUACCAGAAGGUAGCCCGUACACGGCCGCACCUAGCUGGCUGCACGAGGGGCCGCGGGGUGGCCGGAGACGACGGCGGCGAGCACUUCCGCGGUGGCUGGAGUUCAGGCUGGGGCAGGGACGCGGCUGCAGCGCUCGAGCGAGCAAGCGGAGUGGAGAGGCAUCCUCCUGGAGGCGCCAGGAGCGUGUCAGUGCCCCUGGAGCGAGCAGGAGAGGCUCGGGAACGCGGGCUCGCCGGCCAUGGCGGACGGCGGCCUCGGGUGACCUCAGGGCUACGGCUAGAGGGCGGGAGCAAGCAGGGGGCAGAGGGGAAAUGCUCAGGGGCUCACGGUGAGUUCGAAGAGAAGGUCGGCGUGCUCGGGGAGGCGGCGGAAACGGCGAAUCGGACGGCGGCAUCCGGCGGCCGUGGUCGGGGAAGAAGGCCGCAAGCGUCAUCUUGGGGCCGUCCUGACUCGUGUAGCUCGGAGAGGAGGGAGAGUAGGUGGCGGCGGCGCCUCUGAGAGCAUCGGCGGGGCGAGGCAGUGGCUGUGGCCACGGCGGCGUACGAACGGCGGCGGCGGUCGCUCUCGGGUGCGUGCGAGAGAAAGAACAGAGGAGGAGAUGGGGACGAGGGAGUGAGCGGGAGGGUUCCAGGGGGUCGAGGCGGCGCCGAGGAGAAGGCGCGAGGCGUCGUGGUGGCCUCAGUGACGCAGGCAGGCAGGGAGGUGCGUGGCGCCGCUGGCGCGCGUGCGCUGUCUCCCUCCUCUGCCUUCUGGCAGAGGUAGGUGAUGACUGGCACGGGCCAGGUGGGCCGGCCCGGCCAGGUAAGUGGCCUGUGGCCUUACUCUCUCUCUCUCUCUCUCUCUCUCUUUUCAUUUAGCUUGUUUUUCUAUAUUUCUGCAAUUGUUUUGGCUUUAUUAAAAAUGCCAGAGCAUUAUUAAAAAUCCUGAAAAUAUUCAUGAGCACUUUCUAAAUUAUUUCAGUGUCCCACAAAUAAUUCCAACAUUAUUUGAGCAUUUAAAUUAUUUAUAGUGUUUAAAUGCCCAAAGUCAAAUACAAUAUGAUUUAAUUCAAAAAUCCAAAAAUGAUCUAAGAAUAUAUUCAUCAUUUUUGGCAGAGGUUUCCACCUUAACCAGAAAUCAUGAACUUUUCUUAGGAACUUUUUUGGGUUUAUUGAAAAAGAUUUUAAUCCACCCUAGUUGAGUUGAUUUGGUGCUAGGGUUUGAACAUCCUCAUUUCAAGUUUAAGAAAAAUUUAAACAUGAUGCACACAUGAAGCUAUCCUAGUGCAAUACCAGAAGCUAGGGAUGUGACAACACCUCUCUGUUGCCAGAGCCUGCCAGGCCCACCGCGCCACCAUCCCACCUACUGAGCGCCGGCCACAAGCCCUCACCUGCACCUGGGGCAAAUCUGGCCUGGUUUGAUCCCCAUCACAACAAGAAAACCAAGCCGCCACCGGCCUGCACAUUCCGCCGUGACGCGCCACCAUCAGCCAGCAUCGCCGCCCAGCACCGCCUCCAGCCUGCGUGAACCGCCGUCGCCGACACCACGCGGGCUUUGCCCAGUGACGGUAGGGAAGGGGAGUGGGGGCCCAUGUCCGGCGGCUAGGGUUAGAUCACCCGGGUCGCCUGGGGAGGGGGGGGGGGCGACAAGAGGCGCUUGUAAAACUAAAUAUGUCUCGUCAGUGUUAACCCUGUUAACCCGAGACUGUCGAUCUUCUUUGUGAACUUGAUUGAAAAUGACAAAAGAAAAAUCUGAAAUUUUGGACAGAAGAAUCUAAAAUACAGUCUGAAGCCUUGGCCCCAGCAAGUUUUGUGAUGUAUGAUAAAAGCAAACAACAUUAGAACAAUUCACAGGUACAACCUCUAUUACUGGCGUGCUCAUACACUAGUUCGUUCUGUGUGUCACUGUCUGCAAGUGCUCAUUAUUCUUUUCGGAGAUGAAGAUCAUAAAGUUCACAAUGAAGACAUACAACCCCUGGCUUUGCUGCUACCUUGGUGUCGCCACAACAGCAGAAUUUCCAUCUCGGACAAAUAAUCUACUGAAAAGCAGAUCGGCGUGGCAAAGACAGCAUGGCAAAAACAAUACUCCGUACUACUGAAAAACUGCUAGCAUUCACUUCCAAUAUAAAAGAUGCACCACAAUCAUAAUCGUUGGUUGCACAAGCCUUACACAUCUAAAACCCCACCCCUAGAUACAACUCCUAAUGCCAUUUCGAAACACGAAAACACCAGAACAAGAACUCAGCUCUAAUCUCCUUACCCACCCCAACCACCAGACUCCAGCAACGGCGAAGAUACUACAGAAGAGCAGAACCACCCCAAAAAAAAAGCCUCUCAUUGAAUCCUGAAUCGCCUCAGACUUGCACCUUUCUGCAACCCACAAGCAUAUAUCCAACUAGCAGAAUCUUGAAUUCCUACAGCCACGGCAACUCUUCCUCACCCUGUAUAUAAGCUGUCCUCCUCGAAUGGAUGAUCAAAUGACUUGAGCAGCGGAAAUC